Pezoporus occidentalis (night parrot) is the source of this 359-nucleotide long non-coding RNA. RefSeq lists it as uncharacterized. The record is from RefSeq and is a predicted model, not a curated record. Lineage: Eukaryota; Metazoa; Chordata; Aves; Psittaciformes; Psittacidae. The transcript is spliced from 3 exons.
CACAGGUCCUGGAACACGGUGUCCAGGGAGUUGCCUGCACCAGGCACUUUUUCUUCAACACUAAUGGUCUCUCCUGACUGCUUGGCACAGAUCUUACAGCAGCCACAACCGUCCUUCACCAAGCUUAUUCCAGGAGUGCAGGUUGGCACCGGAGGGCAUCUGCAUGGCCAGUGGCAAACUUCCUUGCGCUGGGAAAGAUGUCAACUGAAAGGUGUGAGACUACAAAGUUUCACAGAGAGAAAAUCACCAUCAGGCAAAUACCUGACACUUAUAACUGUAGAAUUACUGAGGAGCUCAGCCUACCAGGAAAAUCUUCCUGAAAAAAAAUCCCAAAUCUAUUAAGUUACAAUGAAAAUUUA